This 854-nucleotide long non-coding RNA is filed under the name Salvator merianae (Argentine black and white tegu). Its description in RNAcentral is "lncRNA (ENSSMRG00000013708.1)". The record is from RNAcentral. Lineage: Eukaryota; Metazoa; Chordata; Lepidosauria; Squamata; Teiidae.
CGGGGCUUCCUGUGGGUGGGGCCUCUCCCCACCUACAUCAGCAGGUGUCUGAGGGCCGGUCAGGUAGUCUUGAGUGCCCGGCGGCUCCCUGCCACGAUGCUGAGUUCCCGGGGGUGUGUGCAGGUGCUCCUAGGGUGGGCCCUGAUUUUGGGGCAGCUGCAGAUGUCACGCAUGGCCUUCCCUUCGCGGUGGCAUCCNAGCUCACCUAUGGAUUCAUGCUGCACAGGGCAAGACCAAGAAAGAAUAUAUGAGGAAAAGGCCGAAAGGUUCAGGAAUCAAAUGGAAGAGGAUGCAGCGGUGGAAUCCUGCCCCGUGGGUGUCGAGUGGAAGAACCAGGCCCUUGAAGUCCUGAAUCGGCACAGAUAUCUAGAUGAUGCUUACUUCACNCGCGUAGAGGAUGGUUUUAUGUACGUCGAGGCAGCGUGUGGAGCUCAGGUGAAAAUCAGAAUGAUCCUGCAGAAAACCAACUGCACCAGAGAGCAGCUGGAGGAUAACGAGAGGCCUCUCACUAAUUCCUUCCUGGAAGAGGAACACUGCGAAGUUCUAGAGGGACCGGAGCAAGAGCAAAGGAACUGCACGUUCACGGUCGCCUGGGACGCGAGGUCUGGACACCAUAAAGUGAUCGAACAGGACUGCGACUACGUUUCAGGUUUCGGAGAAUGAAGAUUCUGCCAAGGGCCGGGCGGAAAAAAGCACGCCUCCUUCUCAGAGCGUAAUCGUUUAGAUGGAAGCCUGAAAACUGUUCCAUGGAAAGGGAGGUUCUGCAUCCCCUGCAGUCUUUCCUCGUGCUAGAAUCUCUGGUAGUUCUUUCUUUCCCUCUGAUCCGAAAUAAGACAAUAAAUUUUAACUUGCGC